RNAcentral lists this ribosomal RNA (471 nucleotides) under uncultured organism. RNAcentral's name for it is "partial 16S ribosomal RNA". It matches the Rfam family "Bacterial small subunit ribosomal RNA", at positions 335 to 797 of the family's 1533-position model. The record is from RNAcentral.
ACUCCUACGGGAGGCAGCAGUGGGGAAUUUUGGACAAUGGGCGAAAGCCUGAUCCAGCAAUGCCGCGUGCAGGAUGAAGGCCUUCGGGUUGUAAACUGCUUUUGUACGGAACGAAAAAGCUCCUUCUAAUACAGGGGGCCCAUGACGGUACCGUAAGAAUAAGCACCGGCUAACUACGUGCCAGCAGCCGCGGUAAUACGUAGGGUGCGAGCGUUAAUCGGAAUUACUGGGCGUAAAGCGUGCGCAGGCGGUUAUGUAAGACAGAUGUGAAAUCCCCGGGCUCAACCUGAGAACUGCAUUUGUGACUGCAUGGCUAGAGUACGGUAGAGGGGGAUGGAAUUCCGCGUGUAGCAGUGAAAUGCGUAGAUAUGCGGAGGAACACCGAUGGCGAAGGCAAUCCCCUGGACCUGUACUGACGCUCAUGCACGAAAGCGUGGGGAGCAAACAGGAGUAGAUACCCCUGUAGUCCCA